Molecule: unclassified non-coding RNA, 225 nt
Filed under: rhizosphere metagenome
Description: partial ribosomal RNA internal transcribed spacer region
Source: RNAcentral
GUAGGUGAACCUGCGGAAGGAUCAUUACCGAGUAUUGGGUCUCAGUGCCCGCACUCCAACCCUUUGUGUACCUAAAACUGUUGCUUUGGCGGGCCCGCGGUGUAAUGCCGCUGCUGGCCCACGCUGGUUAGCGCCCGCCAGAGAACCGUUAAACUCUUGUUUAUUCAGUGUCGUCUGAGCAAAAUUUAAUAAUCAAAACUUUCAACAACGGAUCUCUUGGUUCUG